RNAcentral lists this small nucleolar RNA (127 nucleotides) under Jaculus jaculus (lesser Egyptian jerboa). RNAcentral describes it as "Small nucleolar RNA SNORA33 (ENSJJAG00000009962.1)". It matches the Rfam family "Small nucleolar RNA SNORA33". From Rfam's summary of the family: ACA33 is a member of the H/ACA class of snoRNA that guide the sites of modification of uridines to pseudouridines. The record is from RNAcentral. Lineage: Eukaryota; Metazoa; Chordata; Mammalia; Rodentia; Dipodidae.
AAGUUAAUUAAUCUACUUAUCUGAAUGUGUUUCUGAUGAAAUUGAGAAAAAGCUAGCAAUAGUGACACCAUAUUAUGAGCCUUAAGGGCAAAUGAAGUCAUUAAGGUCCCUGAAAGUAGCUGUAAUG